ACCCACAGCACAAAUCCUGUUCCAUCGAUGCCACCACAUAGCAACUUUAAGACAGAAAAACCAUAACCCCAACCAAAACAAAGCAAAGAGCAGCAAAACUAGAAAACUUAGAAAUAAACCGGCGCUGGAUGGCACCGGUCCUACUUCCUUCAGCAUGAUUAACCCUCGUCGGAUGUUGUCCUUUAAAUCAACACAGGCAUGCUCUUUACUCCGUUCAUGGCCUACCUCCAAAGACACGCAAUGCCGCAGGUGUCUAAUGGUCCUUCUCCAAUAAGCUCAAAUCUGUUACUAUUACCCCAAAAGAAUAAUAUAAACACCCUACCCAAUAAUAGGGAAGGACUGCCUACUCACUAGG
This 355-nucleotide unclassified non-coding RNA is filed under the name Hevea brasiliensis (rubber tree). The record is from RNAcentral. Lineage: Eukaryota; Viridiplantae; Streptophyta; Magnoliopsida; Malpighiales; Euphorbiaceae.